UCGCGGCCCAUUUUAGUCUUGGUUUGCUUAUGAGUUAGGGCCUGGUUAAAGCCCAACUGAGUAUCAGCACGAGGCCCUAGUUUACUGCAGUCGUAAAAUUCGCUAAAAAAAAUACAACAGUCCUAAAACAUGGUUGUCUUUUGGAAAAUCAUUCCGUUCAGCCGGCCGAUCAAGCGCAAUGCUCCGCCGCCCACGCAGCCGUUGGAUCCCAUCUGAUCCAACCGCACAUAUUCACAACUGUUUUUGCUAGCACCAACCAGUCACGUGAUCCCAUCUACUGCGCUACACGGCAAUGUUUAUGCAACAAGACCUAUGUUGCAAAAACAAAUCUGCAAAACACCUUUGUUGCAAAACAAAAUCAGUAACAAGUCAUGUGUUGUUAAAAAAUUCUCAAAACAAUUCCGCAACAAGUCCUUUGUUGUAAAAAAUAACUGCAACACAACAUUUGUUGCAAAUGUUUCUGCAACAAAGCCCAUGUUGCAAACGGGUUACAACUUAUGUUGCGAAAGUGAGGGCGCUGCUCGGCCGCGAGAUCUUGUCUGAUCUUACGGCUCCGAACCGGGCGGAUCUUUUAAACAGAUCCGCCAACCGACACACGCCCCUUGUUUUUUACUGUUGUUAUUAUAUAAACAAAUCUUCUUACGGUCCGGUGAUGAUGAAAUAUUUCUACUAGUUUCACUGGAACUUCAGUUAUAUAUUCAACACGCGAACGCUUGAAAAUGUGUGUCUUUGCAUAUUAUAUUAGAAUGCCAACAAACUUGCAAACUUUCGAAUCAUACUCCCCGCAAAAAAUAUCUGAUCAUAUUAUAAUCUACAUAGAUCUUUGUGUGAUUUUCCUGAAGUCAUCAUCUAUUGUUGUGACAAAACCAUCUAUAUUUUUUGUAGGACCAUCGCGGCGUCUUCUCCCACCUUGCCGGACAGCUGUCGUCGUCUUCCUCCGCCUCGCCAGACCACCCCCACCUCAACCUCGUCUUCUUCCACCCAAGGUUGAUGAGGUUAUCCUCCUCACCAAGCAAUCUCCCUCCCUCCAUCACCCUUGUGUAUGUGUUCUUGGAUCCUGACACAUGUCUUGGGUACACACGAGUACAAAUCUUGACCAUAACCAAACCAAACCUAUCAUGAAGUAUAUGUGUUGUGUAUAUUGACUGUUGGGUUCCAGGCUUCCAGUGCAUGUAUUGUAUUUGCAAUGUGUACUUUUCCGGUUAUGGUUGAGUCUCUUAGACACAACUGCUUAGCUCAACAUAAGAAUAGUUUAGAAAAGGAAACAUCUAUCUUAGAAUGCUACAUGGGACAUGUAUUAAUUCCUUGUGCUGAUGUCCAGCUUUCUGCAAUCCCUUUGGUUUUGAAUUUGUGUUACUUAGUCCCUAAUAUAAUUUGUAUAUUCUAGUCCCUCCAUCCCAAAAUUCUUGUCUUAGAAUUGUCUAGAUACGGAUGUAUCUAAUACUAAAACUUGACUUGAUACAUCCAUGUUUAGACAAAUUAAGACAAGAAUUUUGGGACGGAGGGAGUAUAAAACAUGUUUUGGUGCUUGGAAUUUGUAGGGAAAUCAUUAGAGCAUGUUCAAGGUAGUGACAAUUUUAUGCAAGCCCUCUACUAGUAAGUACUUCAUAAUUGUCUGUAACUACUCGUUUCUUCACCGGUAUCACACCCGCGCCGGAUUGAACAUCAGAUUUGGAACCCACCCAAAUCGAUUGAUGCAUUAUCAUACCGAAAUUUGGAUCCAUUUGGCUCCACAGGAGCAAGUGCGGGAGUUCUAAUAGGACUUUGAGACUAAUCCUCCGAGCGAGAACAGAGAGAAGUAGUUGCGGGGAGGUUUGAUAGGGUUAGGACAAGAAGAAAUCCAUAUUAGUUUGACGGUGUCAAUGUGGACCUUCUAAGCACCAAUUUAUUAUAAGUAAUCCUGAUCAAAUAAAACAAAGUCCUUCUGAGCGAAGGCACCUUUCUCUCUGUGUGGAAAAAUGAAGAAGAUGAUGCUUCGGCGUCCGUUUCUAGCUCUGCUUGAGCCGCUUCGUCCGUUUCUCUGAUGUAGAUGUCGGCGACGGUGACUCAGAUCUCCUUCUCUCACUUUCGGGGUCAGCCAGCCAUGAGCAGUGAGAACGAGUUCAUGGACGCAUUUCACUCUUUUUCUGAAGCUGUUGAUUCACGUUGCCGAAGGCUGCAACGAAGGAAAUGGAGUAGCAGAGAACCCUUUUUUUUUUUGACAUCAUGGAGUAGUAGAGAACCUGGCGGCACACGCUCUAUGGAUCGAUCGGUAGCUGCCCCAUGCCACUGAUGAACGGCGCAGUGUGUUUGUCUCGUUCCGACCGAUUUCCCGUGAAACCAAUUGAAUGCAAGCAAAUCCUCAGUUCAUUCACUCCAUUUCUCCCCCAUCCCGUGAUCAACAUUUAUAUCAUCAGCCAGCAUUUAAUCCUUCCCCUCGGCCGUGCGCCUGUGCCCCUCUGACACUAUAAAACCUGCGCAGCCUGCCACCUCUUUCCCUCCAUCAUCCAACGAUCGCGCCAUUUCCGGUGCAAAGAUGGCUUCGCCGCUGAUGUCCGCGCUGACGUUGGUCGUUGCCAUGGUGGCCAGCUUCGGCCGGCCGUGCCGGGGCGAGUUCACGGUGGUGGUGCCGGGCGCGGGGGCGCUGGUGGACGCGCCGCAGCCGGGGUUCUCGGACCGGGCGCGCACCGACCCGGCGGAGCAGCGCGCCGUGCUGGAGGUGAUGGCGGCGACGGGCAACGGGUGGGCGUCCGGCAUCGCGGACGUGUGCCGCGGCCGGUGGCACGGCAUCGAGUGCGUGCCCGACCGCGCCGACGUCUACCACGUCGUCUCCCUCUCCUUCGGCGCGCUCUCCGACGACACCGCCUUCCCGGCCUGCGACCCCGCGCGCGCCGCGCUCUCCCCCGCCGUGCUCGCGCUCCCGCACCUCCGCUCCCUCUUCUUCUACCGCUGCUUCACCGCCAACCCGCAGCCCGUCCCGGCCUUCCUCGGCCGCCUCGGCCCCGCCUUCCGCUCCCUCGUGCUGCGCCAGAACGGCCACGUCGGCCCCAUACCGCCCGAGAUCGGGAGCCUCUCCGGCCUGCGCGUGCUCGACCUCCACGGCAACCAUCUCACCUCCGCCAUCCCGGCCACCGUCCAGUGGUUGGACCGCCUCCAGCUGCUCGACCUCAGCUACAACCGGCUCGCCGGCCAGGUGCCCAACCUCAGGUUCCAGCAGCUCAGCAUCCUGGACCUCAGCCACAACGCGCUGCAGGGCCGCGUCCCGGCGAGCCUCGGGCAAUGCCGGUCUCUCCUCAAGAUCGACCUCAGCCAGAACCGCCUCGCCGGCACCAUCCCGGACGCUCUCGGCGACCUACCCGACCUCAUACUGCUCGAUCUCAGCCACAACGCGCUGUCCGGCCCGAUCCCGGCGGCGGUCGGCAGGCUGUCGACGCUGCGGUCGCUCAUCCUCGGCGACAACCCGAUGCAGCUCUCGACGAUCCCCGGCGACCUCUUCACGGGGCUCAAGGCGCUGACCACGCUGGUCCUCUCGGGCAUGGGGCUGCAAGGGCCGCUGCCGGAGUCCAUCGGGGGCCUGAGCCAGCUCCGCGUGCUCCGCCUGGACAGCAACGGGUUCACCGGCGUGAUACCGGCGAGCUUCCGGCGGCUGGAGAAGGCGAGCGAGCUCCGCGUGGACGGCAACCGGCUCGUGGGGCCGAUCCCGUUCGGCAAGCAGAUGAUGUGGAGGCUGGGCAAGAAGCUGCGGGUCGGCGGCAACGAGGGGCUCUGCUACGACGCCAAGCAGGAAGGGCUGGAGGGCGCCAUGGCGCUGGCCGGCGUCGCGGACUGCGCCAGCGUGGGGAGCCGCACCACGACGCAGCACUUGAGCUGGAAGAACAGCGGCGGUGCGACUGCGACGGCGACGGCUACGGCUAACGUGACGUCGUCAGCCGCAGAUUCAAAUUCUGGCCGGGGUGGCGGGCACUUUUUCUUGGUCGUUUUGGUGUGUUUGCAGCUUGCAUUGUUGUAGGUAGAGGAGCUGGGGCUUCUGUGGCGGUUGAUUGGUGGUGCAGAGUUUUUUUACACCGGGAAGAAUAAGGAUCUGUACAAAGCCUUCUUGCUGAUUGCGGCUUUUGCCCGCUGUAGCCAGGUGAACAAAAUUGUUUCCAGAGAUUUUUGAAGAAGCAUGUCUUUUUUCGGCUAAGUUGCUAUGAUUAUUACCCACGGUGAAAGAUUGAUGGAUCAACCGCUCUGACAUGAACGUCCGAAAACGCAAAGCUUGUGCAUCCCUCACCAUACUCAUUACUUGGUCUAAUUGGAAUGAAAGAAAUGCACAAAGCUUGUGCAUCCCUCACCAUAUUCAUUACUUGGUCUAAUUGGAAUGAAAGAAAUGCACGAGUCUUUCGCAGCAAGCCUUCUUGGCCAACAAUCUUGCACAACAACAUGAAGCUUAAGCUUCUCUUUGAAUGGCUGUGGGCGCAAAAAAACUAGGGAGCAUCAUACUGGAAGAGUAACAACUUAUGUAUGUCCGGGCUUGUAACAAAAACAGUAUAUUCCCUUCUCAAUUAAUAUAUAUGGCAAAUCUUUUGCCACGUUUAAAAAAAAACGAUCGUACGAUGCUAUGAUCUGACAAUUCCCAUUCCACCCCCACCUCGAGUAUACAAGUCUUGAGCGCCUUUGGAAAGUGAUUUUACACCUAAUGUGGCUGCUAUACAACACAAUAAGAGUCGCCUUAGGCCUUGUACAAUGAAAGAUGCUUAGGAUGGUGCUUAGAAAAAUAAACCGGAUUUUUCUGAAGCACCGGUGCCUAUUUCUAUAGAAGAGACGCUUAGUUAAGCGUCUACCCUGUACAAAUAAGCACCGGUGCUUAAGAAAUCCUGGUUUAUUUCUCUAAGCACCUCUUCUAAGCACCUCCCAUUGUAUAAGGCCUUAUAAGCGGCUAUGCCACGUCAAACAUUUACUGUCGCAGGGAUUGGUCGGUUAGAUGUUCAUCUACCCAGAUAACACCUCCCCAAGUUCACGUAAAAAAACACUUUAACUUUCUUCCCUUAUCUUCGCUGGGAAGGCAGCCCACGCACGCGACCUCCCCCCUCUCUCUCGUUUCCUCUCCCGAAUCCGCCGCCACGACUGCCGCCAGAGGGAGAGGAACUGGCUCCGCUCUUCCAUGCAACAACACCAACGCCAUCGUCUCCUGGAGGAGUGGGUGGGAGGAGAAGGCGGCGGCAGUUUCGAUCUGUCAUCUGCCUCGACGGGGGAGAAGGCGGAUCGAUCCGAUCGAAGUGGCUGCCGGAAGGAUGGGACGAAGAAGUCGUCGUUGGCUGGCCGAGGGUCAGGUGAGGACGAGGGGAAGCGGCUACGAGCACGCCAUCGGUGUUGGAUCGAUGGUGUCAUGCCUCUGCGGCCGGGAUUAGGCUAGGCAGAUGAGAAGCAGCGGCGCGCCCCCACUCCACCGAGCUCCAUAUCAAUGGCAACAUCAGCGAGGUGAGCAGCGGCUAAAGGCUCCCACCUGAAGAAAUCGAGGCGUUGGCGGCGGAGUCGAUGGGGAGAAGGCCCCGCCUUGAUGCAGUUGGAGACGCUGCUGGCGCUCAGCCUCAAACAGCAAAGUCACCUUGUAACGAAGGUAAACAUCGCCUCCUAUCCUUACACUUGUAGCCUUGAUUUUGAUGAGGGCUGGUUUGUGCGGACCCUGCGGCUAGGGUUUGAUUUUUGUUUGUCUGCGAUGCAAAUUGCGUUGGUUUACCUGACGGAAUCAGGGCCACUUAUCUCAUCUUGGCUACCUUUACGUACUGGCUACUGCAUUGCAAAACCAGAAGCUCGUAGAAUAAUGAUGAUUAUUAAUUAAAAGAAUCUGAAACUCUCUGGCAAUUUUCUCUAGCUGAUAGCAAGAAUAAUGAACAGCAAGCACUACACCCGAUUAGUGCAGCGAAUGCCGAAUCAAGGUCCAUCUGAAUAUAAUUUCAUUAUGUUUGCCUUGUGAUGCAGAUGUGGGCAUAUAAGUUUGAUAUCUUGUUGCCGAUAGUUGCUUUUCAUUUGUCAUUCACCUGAUGUAGAUCCCUGAACCCUUGUGCUUUGAACCUGAACCUGAAGAUUUUAUAGCUGUUCAAAGGAAGAGAUGUUGAAAUGGAACCUCCGUCAGUGUGCUUGGCAUGUGACUACUGUAGUGUGGGUGCAUGUGUAUUCAGUGUCCUUUGAAUGUCCACUGUUGGGUCCUUUGAAUGUCCACUGAUGGGAUGCACACUUCGAUGUGUAGCGAACUCAUAAUUUGUAGUCUCGCUGAUGGUUCAAAUAACGAGAAACUGAAGAAUCUGUUUUGUCAUCAUCCCAGGUUUCACAAAAUUCAAACAUACAUCAUUUCCAUGCCAGGUUACAUAUUUUAGGUGCCAGAGGAUUGUCGAAAGAAACUCAGAUGUUUGAGAAAUUCUACUCACUUCAAGCUCUCAUCACUUGCAUAUCUAUGUGCUACCCACACUGCAUUUUGUUUUUUGAAAUGGCCGCCUCCUACCAGGCACCGCCCAGGAACUUCUCAGGCGGCAGAUUUCGGCUUGUCAACAAGGUCGUCUCACACCCCUCUUCUUCUCCCCUUGGUUCUAUUCGAUUUGGAUGCUCUGUGUAUGAUUUGUUUCUUUGUCAAGCUGCAUAUCUCUUGUGUAUAGUUUCAACUACAUUGAAGUUAUGCAUCCAUUUUCAUUGCAUCACUUACCACAAGAUGUAUCCAAUAAAUCCUUGUAUAUAUAGUGACGAGCGUAAACAGUGAUGUUCGUAAGGAUUUGGUCUACGAACGGGGAUGUAUACAAGCAGUGCUUAUCUCGGGAAUGUGUGACAGUGGUGAAACACAGGAAAAUACCUAGCAAAACAAGUAAGAGGGCCAACGGAUUUUUUUUACAAGGGCCACAUGAGCUAUUUUCUAAUGCUCAAUUUGCAACUCGGCAUCAGGUAUACCGUGGCCCGUGGGUAAAAUCGCCCCUGUACCUUUGUGUGAAGUUUGUUGAAAUGAUUUUGGAACUAGAGCGCUGAUAAUACUUACCUAUUAAGGCUCGCAGUAUACCCCUCCACACUGCUCUGCCAAUUUUUCUUUUGGAAAGACUAUUGUCAUAUGGUCUUCCGGAGUACCAUAUAACACAUGAAAAUUAUGAAGAGCUUUGAAGAUUUAUGGAGCAGUCUCUGACUCCAAUUAAAGAUGUACUCAUGCAGUCAGGCAUGAAAAUUGGUGACAUCUAUGCUGUAGAGCUAAUAGGAGGAGCUACCAGGGUACUGAAACUGCAUGCGAUUAUUGCUCUCAUUCAUUCGACAAGUUGGAUUCUGGCGGAUCGGCAAUCGGCAGGCCGGCUGGAUCGUGUGCCCGCCUGUUCUUAAUUUGAAAGAAUAAAUCAUUGGUGCUCUAGGUUGCUGGAGAACCUUGGAGGUUGAUUCAUGGGAAUCAUUACCAGGCGCAAACUCUCCUGUACCUAAUUUUCAUUGAGUUUCUUUAUGGUGCCAGUACUAGGAGCUCCUCGUCACCUGAGUGGUUGAUUCAUUUGAAUCGUUACCAAGCCGGUGAGGACGAGUUGUUGUCUCCUAGAGUGGUGGUCGAGAUUCGAGAGUCAAGGGCAGCGGUGAAGGUUAGAGAGGAAAAUAAAGUAAGCAGCGAGCAGAUGUAGCGUGGGGUGCAAGGGAACUAGGCGGCUAUCAAGAAUUUCAGAUGGUGGUGAGAUGUUUCGGGUCGACCAUGUGGAAUUUCUAUGUGUACGCUCAUGAGGGUCCCUCGCCGUGCCGUGGACACAGCGGCCUCGCCGGACCAUGGUGCAGACGAGCCAUGAGCUAACGUAGUUGGUGGCUCCCGUCACACACACCGGCUGGUUCUACUCCGGCAAGCCACCGCCGCCGCUGCCCAUCUCGAUCUCUCCCCGUGUCUCCUUCAGGCAAGGGUGCUGGACGCGGCGGACGGGAGAUAAAGCGGUGGAGCUGUCAGUCCGUCAACGCUCUUUCUAAAGUGGUGUCGGUAAAAAUAGCUAACUUGUAGGUUGUUAGUACUGUGCUACAAUUCCGCUUACUUAUAUGGAAAGAGACAAGAUUCAUUUCCAUUGCC
Long non-coding RNA from Aegilops tauschii subsp. strangulata, 8023 nucleotides. RefSeq lists it as uncharacterized. NCBI's taxonomy places the organism in Eukaryota, Viridiplantae, Streptophyta, Magnoliopsida, Poales, Poaceae. The record is from RefSeq and is a predicted model, not a curated record.